AGUGAACGCUGGCGGUAGGCCUAACACAUGCAAGUCGAACGGCAGCACAGUAAGAGCUUGCUCUUACGGGUGGCGAGUGGCGGACGGGUGAGGAAUACAUCGGAAUCUACUUUUUCGGGGGGGAUAACGUAGGGAAACUUACGCUAAUACCGCAUACGACCUACGGGUGAAAGCAGGGGAUCUUCGGACCUUGCGCGAUUGAAUGAGCCGAUGUCGGAUUAGCUAGUUGGCGGGGUAAAGGCCCACCAAGGCGACGAUCCGUAGCUGGUCUGAGAGGAUGAUCAGCCACACUGGAACUGAGACACGGUCCAGACUCCUACGGGAGGCAGCAGUGGGGAAUAUUGGACAAUGGGCGCAAGCCUGAUCCAGCCAUACCGCGUGAGUGAAGAAGGCCUUCGGGUGGUAAAGCCCUUUUGUUGGGAAAGAAAAGCAGCAGGUUAAUCCCCCGCUGUUCUGACGGUACCCAAAGAAUAAGCACCGGCUAACUUCGUG
RNAcentral lists this ribosomal RNA (492 nucleotides) under uncultured bacterium. RNAcentral's name for it is "partial 16S ribosomal RNA". It matches the Rfam family "Bacterial small subunit ribosomal RNA", at positions 29 to 507 of the family's 1533-position model. The record is from RNAcentral.